UACGUAGGUGGCAAGCGUUGUCCGGAUUUAUUGGGCGUAAAGCGAGCGCAGGCGGUUCCUUAAGUCAGAGGUGAAAGGCUACGGCUCAACCGUAGUAAGCCUUUGAAACUGGGAAACUUGAGUGCAGGAGAGGAGAGUGGAAUUCCUAGUGUAGCGGUGAAAUGCGUAGAUAUUAGGAGGAACACCAGUUGCGAAGGCGGCUCUCUGGACUGUAACUGACACUGAGGCACGAAAGCGUGGGGAGCAAACAGGAUUAGAUACCCCUGUAGU
RNAcentral lists this ribosomal RNA (270 nucleotides) under uncultured prokaryote. RNAcentral's name for it is "partial 16S ribosomal RNA". It matches the Rfam family "Bacterial small subunit ribosomal RNA", at positions 524 to 794 of the family's 1533-position model. The record is from RNAcentral.